This 1779-nucleotide ribosomal RNA is filed under the name Triticum aestivum (bread wheat). RNAcentral describes it as "partial small subunit ribosomal RNA". Lineage: Eukaryota; Viridiplantae; Streptophyta; Magnoliopsida; Poales; Poaceae. The record is from RNAcentral.
AUGAGCAGCAUGUCGAGGAUGCCGCUCCCUCCGUCCCCUCCCCCUUCCCUCUCCAGCAAGCCCCCCACCCUGCCCUUCUCUCCCAAGAAGACGCCGCCGAUGCCCGUCUACAAGGACCUGCACUUCAACCACGACCUCUCCGCCACCAAGAAGUUGCAGGCUGGCGUGGACCUGGUGGCGCGGCUGGUGGGGGUCACCCUGGGUCCCAAGGGGAGGAAUGUGGUGCUCGCCAACAAGUAUGGCCCUCCCAAGAUCGUCAACGAUGGGGAGACUGUCCUCAAGGAGAUCGAAUUGGAGGAUCCGCUGGAAAAUCUAGGAGUUAAAUUGGUCAGACAGGCCGGCGCCAGGACGAACGAUAUUGCCGGCGAUGGGUGUACCACUUCUAUAAUCCUUGCUCAAGGCCUGAUUGCUGAAGGAAUGAAGGUUCUUGCUGCUGGAAUGAAUCCGGUUCAAAUUGCGCGUGGCAUUGGGAGGACUGCUGAUGCUUUAGUUUCUGAACUCAAGUUGAUGUCACGGGAGAUUGAAGACCAUGAAAUAGCACAUGUGGCUGCAGUUAGCGCGGGAAAUGAUUACGCUGUCGGAAACAUGAUUUCUGAUGCUUUUAAAAGAGUAGGCAGGGAAGGCAUGGUUAGGAUUGAAAACGGGAGAAGCACUGUAAACAGUUUGGAGGUUGUCGAAGGAAUGCAGUUUGAACGUGGUUACCUCUCACCUUUCUUUGUGACUAAACAUGCAAAUAUGUCCGCGGAGUACACUGACUGUAAGAUCCUGUUGGUUGACAAGAUAAUUUCUGAUCCAAGGGAACUUUUAAGGGUAUGCUUUAGUGCUGUAAAAGAAGAUUUUCCAUUGUUAAUAAUUGCUGAGGAUGUCGAAGAAGAAGCAUUGGCUACUUUGACGAGAAACAAGCUAUCAGGGAUGAUCAAAGUGGCAGCAAUUAAGGCUCCUUCUUUCGGUGAACAAAAAACCCAAUGCUUAGAAGACAUUGCAAUCAUAACAGGAGGUACAGUAGUGAGAGAUGACAUGGGAUACACACUAGAAGAGGCAGGGAAAGAGUUCUUAGGCUCUGCUUCUAAGGUAAUAGUCAAGAAAGAUUCAACACUAAUUGUUACUGAUGGAAGCACCCUUCAUGCGGUUGAGAAAAGGGUUGCUCAGAUAAAAGGCCAAGUUGAGAACUCAAAGGAGAGGUACCAGAAAAAGAUACUGGGUGAGAGGAUUGCAAGGUUAUCUGGUGCAAUUGCAAUCAUUCAGGUUGGUGCUCAAACAGUCAUUGAGCUGAAAGAUAAGAAGCUGAGAAUUGAAGAUGCCCUUAACGCAACCAUGGCAGCUAUUGAGGAAGGUGUUGUAGUUGGUGGUGGAUGCAGCCUACUAAGAUUAUCCCAGAAGAUUGACAUGAUCAAGGAAUCAUUGGAUAAUUUAGAGCAGAAGAUUGGUGCUGACAUCUUCAAACAUGCUCUGAGCUACCCUACCACACUAAUAGCUAACAAUGCCGGGAUGAGUGGCAAGUUCGUCAUCGAAAAGGUGCUGUCAAAUGACAAUGCAAGUUAUGGCUACAAUGCGGCCAACGGCUGCUAUGAAGACUUGAUGGCUUCUGGAAUAUUGGACCCAUCAAAGGUUGUGAGGUGUUGCAUAGAGCAUUCUGCUGUUGUUGCCAAGUCUUUUCUCACCUCCGACGUAGUGAUCGUGGAGGCGCAAGAAAGCAAGCCGGUUCGCAUAAGGCCCCCAAUGCCCCCUAGGAACUUGAUUCCCCCAAUGCCUGCAUCAGUUUCAGGUAUUCGAGUGUAG